GGUGGCGUGUCCGAGCGGCCGAAGGUACUCGCCUCGAAAGCGAGUGUCGUGUAACAACGACCGGGGGUUCAAAUCCCUCCGCCACCGC
This 88-nucleotide transfer RNA is filed under the name Corynebacterium provencense. RNAcentral describes it as "tRNA-Ser". It matches the Rfam family "tRNA". From Rfam's summary of the family: Transfer RNA (tRNA) molecules are approximately 80 nucleotides in length. Their secondary structure includes four short double-helical elements and three loops (D, anti-codon, and T loops). The record is from RNAcentral. Lineage: Bacteria; Bacillati; Actinomycetota; Actinomycetes; Mycobacteriales; Corynebacteriaceae.